RNAcentral lists this long non-coding RNA (1459 nucleotides) under Equus caballus (horse). RNAcentral's name for it is "lncRNA (ENSECAG00000053539.1)". Lineage: Eukaryota; Metazoa; Chordata; Mammalia; Perissodactyla; Equidae. The record is from RNAcentral.
AACCCAUAAUGUUUAUCUGCCCAACGGUCUCCAAGUGGUUGUUUUUCUGGCCGUCCUCUCACGAGCUCACAGCGUCCUUGGAAACAGAUUGUGCACUAAACCCUGACCUCCGUCCCGGGCGCCGGGAGGCGGCUGCAGGGACACAGGGGGACAGCCGCUCGGCCUCGCUCCCCGCCUGGGAGACACGUUGGCGGGUGUGCUGGGAGAAGCUUCAUAACCCUCUUCCGGAGAACUCCAUCGGGUCUCCAGGAAAAGGGGGGCGCUCGGAAAGGUUACGGGAGGCCGCUAGGAGCAGAAUCCUAAAUGGCUGAUCUGCCAGCCAGCACGCUGACUCCCGCGGAGCCCCCACCGUGGUCCCCCCUCAUCCAACGAGGCUGUUCCCCACCACCCUCCAGCCCCCCGGCCCUCCCCGAGGAUUGAACGCUGGAGAAUGAGCCCAGCGCCUCCAGCCCCGCCCGCCCCUUCGGGUGACCCGGCCAGGCCAGCAACCCUCAGAGCCACCGCGGACCCUUGGCGCCCAGAAGACAUCCCCGGACGGGCCCGGUCGCCCCUCCUCUGUAAAGUGGGUCUCAGAGGGGUAAACUGAGGCCCAGAAAGGAAAACGCCCCCUGCCCUGAGUUGGUGCUGGAGUCUGAGCCUCUCACCCCGUCGCACAAUCGGGGAAACUGAGUCCCGGAGGGGCGUGCAGCUCAGCCAAAGGGCGGAAGGAGGAAACCAGGCCGACACCUCGGAGACCAGAGCUCACGCCCUCGCUUUGAUGCCCGUCGGGGCUGGGAGGACGCGCCAGACGCCUGCCUCAGUUUCCCUCUCCUCCGAUGGCAGGGUCCGUGAUGGAGGGGGGAAGCGUAGGGGGCUCACAGAGAGCCCGUCCAUGAGAAAGACCCCCUCGCCUCCCUCCGCCCUUUGCCCCUUGGGGGCUGGACCUCCGGGGGGCGGGGAUCCCCUGGAACGACUUUCAUAGGUCGUUUUCCAGAGCUUCUCCCACCCCCAGGAGCCGGUGCUGUGGCCCAGACCCAGGGAUGCAGAACCCACGGCCCGUGGUGGGGCGACCUGGACAUGGGCGCCCCCAACCCUGUGUGGCGGGGACAUCAGAGCCUGGGGAGAGGGCAGCCCUGGGGUCCCCCCAGCCUGGCGUGCGGCCGAUGUUUCCUGGAGGAGGGGGGUGGGGGCGGCCCCCUCCGCCCAGGACCCCGCUGCUUUGGGGGUCCCCAGUCUCAUCCACCGGCUGCCCCACACCCAGCUCCUGAUCCCGGAGGCCUGGGUCUCCCUCUGGGUUCACCCCAGGACCUGUGGGGCCUCGGUUUCCCCAUCUGCACAGGAGAGAGGGGGUCUCCUGCCCGGCUCCAGGACCCCCGACCCCACAGGCUGCAUCGUCCAUUAGGUCCCAUCCACGGCCUCCGGGCCUCCGUCUCUGGGUCGACGGGGCGGGUCAGGGGCUGUGGGGUGGGUGGCCCCCGGG